AGAGUUUGAUUCUGGCUCAGAACGAACGCUGGCAGCGUGGAUUAGGCAUGCAAGUCGAACGAGAAGCCGCGUGUUCAAUCCUUCGGGAGAGAACGUGCGGUGGAGAGUGGCGGAAGGGUGAGGAACACGUGGGCAAUCUGCCUCUAAGUUGGGGAUAACCUCUCGAAAGGGGGGCUAAUACCGAAUGUGGUGGUCUUGCGCAUGCGAGAUUGACUAAAGGUGGGGACCUUUCGGGGCCUGCCGCUUGGAGAGGAGCCCGCGUCCCAUCAGCUUGUUGGUAGGGUAACGGCCUACCAAGGCUUACGGGUAGCUGGUCUGAGAGGAUGGUCAGCCACACUGGGACUGAGACACUGCCCAGACUCCUACGGGAGGCUGCAGUCGAGGAUCAUUGGCAAUGCGCGAAAGCGUGACCAUGCGACGCUGCGUGGAGGAUGAAGGCUUUCGAGUCGUAAACUCCUGUCAUCCGGGAAAAAUCCUUUCAUUUCGAAUAGGGAUGGAAGUUGAUGUUACCGGAAGAGGAAGCCACGGCUAACUCUGUGCCAGCAGCCGCGGUAAUACAGAGGUGGCGAGCGUUGUUCGGAUUUACUGGGCGUAAAGCGUGCGUAGGUGGCGCGGCAUGUCGGACGUGAAAGCCCGGGGCCCAACCCCGGAAUGGCGUCUGAAACUGCCGUGCUGGAGUGCAGGAGGGGAGAGCGGAAUUCUUGGUGUAGCGGUGAAAUGCGUUGAUAUCAAGAAGAACACCGGUGGCGAAGGCGGCUCUCUAGAAUGCUACUGACACUGAGGCACGAAAGCUGGGGGAGCGAACAGGAUUAGAUACCCUGGUAGUCCCAGCCGUAAACGGUGUGAACUUGGUGUGGGGGGUAUUGACCCCCUCCGUACCGGAGCUAACGCGUUAAGUUCACCGCCUGGGGAGUACGACCGCAAGGUUAAAACUCAAUGAAAUUGACGGGGGCCCGCACAAGCGGAGGAGCAUGUGGCUUAAUUCGAUGCAACGCGAAGAACCUUACCAGGGCUUGACAUCUAGCUGCACGCCUCCCGAAAGGGAGGAAGCCUUUGAGGGUGCUAGACAGGUGCUGCAUGGCUGUCGUCAGUUCGUGCCGUGAGGUGUUGGGUUAAGUCCCGCAACGAACGCAACCCUUGUGUUUAGUUGCAACCGCAGGUGAUGAGCCUGUGGGCACUCUAGACAGACUGCCCGUGCAAGCGGGAGGAAGGUGGGGAUGACGUCAAGUCAGUAUGGCCCUUACGUCCUGGGCUGCACACGUGCUACAACGGUGGGUACAAUGAGAUGCAAAGUCGCAAGGCAGAGCAAAUCUCCAAAGCCUACCUCAGUUCGGAUUGGAGUCUGCAACUCGACUCCAUGAAGUCGGAUUCGCUAGUAACGGCGCAUCAGCUACGGCGCCGUGAAUACGUUCCCGGGCCUUGUACACACCGCCCGUCACAUCAUGAAAGCCGUCUGCACCCGAAGUCGCUGUCCCAACCUGCAAAGGAGGAAGGUGCCGAAGGUGUGGGUGGUGAUUGGGAUGAAGUCGGAACAAGGUA
This 1539-nucleotide ribosomal RNA is filed under the name metagenome. RNAcentral describes it as "bacterial SSU rRNA". It matches the Rfam family "Bacterial small subunit ribosomal RNA". The record is from RNAcentral.